This 101-nucleotide Y RNA is filed under the name Prolemur simus (greater bamboo lemur). RNAcentral describes it as "Y RNA (ENSPSMG00000017470.1)". It matches the Rfam family "Y RNA". From Rfam's summary of the family: Y RNAs are components of the Ro ribonucleoprotein particle (Ro RNP), in association with Ro60 and La proteins. The Y RNAs and Ro60 and La proteins are well conserved, but the function of the Ro RNP is not known. Lineage: Eukaryota; Metazoa; Chordata; Mammalia; Primates; Lemuridae. The record is from Rfam by way of RNAcentral.
AGCUGGUCGCAGUGCAGAGUAGAUAUAACUAAUUAAUCACAACCAGUUACAGAUUUCUUUGUGUCUUUUCCACUCUCACUGCUUCACUUGACUCGUCUUAA